UCUACGGGAGUCAGCAGUGAGGAAUAUUGGUCACUGGGCGGAAGCCUGAACCAGCCAAGUCGCGUGAGGGAAUAAGGCCCUACGGGUCGUAAACCUCUUUUGCCGGGGAGCAAGGGCGGGGACGUGUCCCGGCCCGGAGAGUACCCGGAGAAAAAGCAUCGGCUAACUCCGUGCCAGCAGCCGCGGUAAUACGUAGGGUGCGAGCGUUAAUCGGAAUUACUGGGCGUAAAGGGUGUGCAGGCGGUUUUGCAAGAUGGCUGUGAAAGCCCCGGGCUUAAACUGGGAAAGCCAUACAUAACUGCAAGACUAGAGUGCGUCAGAGGGGGGUGGAAUUCCAAGUGUAGCAGUGAAAUGCGUAGAUAUGUGGAAGAACACCGAUGGCGAAGGCAGCCCCCUGGGACGCAACUGACGCUCAUACACGAAAGCGUGGGGAGCAAACAGGAUUAGAUACCCCAGUAGUC
Molecule: ribosomal RNA, 461 nt
Filed under: uncultured bacterium
Lineage: Bacteria
Description: partial 16S ribosomal RNA
Rfam family: Bacterial small subunit ribosomal RNA
Source: RNAcentral